RNAcentral lists this ribosomal RNA (492 nucleotides) under uncultured bacterium. RNAcentral describes it as "partial 16S ribosomal RNA". It matches the Rfam family "Bacterial small subunit ribosomal RNA", at positions 29 to 507 of the family's 1533-position model. The record is from RNAcentral.
AGUGAACGCUGGCGGUAGGCCUAACACAUGCAAGUCGAACGGCAGCACAGUAAGAGCUUGCUCUUACGGGUGGCGAGUGGCGGACGGGUGAGGAAUACAUCGGAAUCUACUUUUUCGUGGGGGAUAACGUAGGGAAACUUACGCUAAUACCGCAUACGACCUACGGGUGAAAGCAGGGGAUCUUCGGACCUUGCGCGAUUGAAUGAGCCGAUGUCGGAUUAGCUAGUUGGCGGGGUAAAGGCCCACCAAGGCGACGAUCCGUAGCUGGUCUGAGAGGAUGAUCAGCCACACUGGAACUGAGACACGGUCCAGGCUCCUACGGGAGGCAGCAGUGGGGAAUAUUGGACAAUGGGCGCAAGCCUGAUCCAGCCAUACCGCGUGGGUGAAGGAGGCCUUCGGGUUGUAAAGCCCUUUUGUUGGGAAAGAAAAGCAGCAGGUUAAUACCCCGCUGUUCUGACGGUACCCAAAGAAUAAGCACCGGCUAACUUCGUG